GCUGGCCUCGAACUCAGAAAUCUGCCUGCCUCUGCCUCCCCAGUGCUGGGAUUAAAGGCGUGUGCCACCACCGCCCGUCGGAAUGGGUAUUUCUAAAUGACUCUUUUGACUUCCUCCCGUGAGUUGUGUAUGGGCUUGUUAUUUUUUUUUUUUUUUGAUGUGUUUGUCAUUCUCAGGAACUUUUGGUGUCUCAUUUCAUCUGAGGCUCACUACCUAGGUAGGUGCGGGCUAGUCAGUGAGCCCCUCUCUACCGAGUUUCCAUGUUUUCAGAGCUGUGAUGACAAAUAUGCGUCAUACCUGCUUCUUAAACAGAUUCUGAACCCACAUAAGCACAAGCACUUUGGUUUCCACACAGAAUGUUACCAUGCGGCCUGGGCUAGCCUUAUACUUGCAGUGAUGAGCCUCCUGCCUCUGUCUCCCAAGUGCUACAAUUACAGAUUUGUGUCACUGUGCCUGGCUUCCUCCUGAGGAAACAUUGGACUUGUAGAUAUUUCUAGUUUUAUGUGGUCAGUCUUGGUGUAUGCCAUUUUUCUCAAUGCAUUUGAGCUCAUUUUGAGGUUGAGUCACAGUUUCUUUCCUGGGCAUCUCUCUCACAUGGGCUUCUGUUGUCUGCAGGGUUUGUAUUUGCACCUUUGUGCUUUUUAUGACUUUGUACAGGAUUUAAUGGACUUUAACUUCUCUCUUAUCAAUGAAUUCUUGUUCUUCUGAAGAAUAAAGAUUGAGGGCAUUUGCCUCUGGGUCUGCCUUUACCUGAACUAUCUUAUUCAUUGUGGGUUUCUUCUUGUCUAAUUUAUUGAUUGUUUCUCGAGAUAGGGUUUCUCUGUAGAACAGCACUGGCUCUUCUGGAACUGCCUCUGCCUCUGAGUGCUGGGAUUAAAGGCUGUCUUUGUCUUUUUGAGACAGGCUACCCCACACUCUGCGUGUUCUCCAGAAUGACUCCUGAUCCCUUUGCUCCACUGCCUGUCACCACACCCAGUUGGUUUAAAAUCUCAGAUGACCCCCCCCCCCAGAGGCUUAUAUAUUCUGAAGGCUUGGCUGCCAGUGUGGAUCUUUAGGAGGGUGGCAUGCCCACAAUGGAAUUUUGGGGCCUGGCCCUUUUCUCUCUCAUCUUUGCGUCCUAGGUACCAGAGCCAUCAUCCUUGGCCAUCGAAUGUGCUGCCACAGAACUAAGAUGAUGGAGCCAAGUGACUUGUAAAUUUGCUUUAUCAGAUGUGUUUAUGUCAAUUUUGUUUUUCCAUCCCUACUCAUGCAUUCAUAUCGCUAAAUUUACUUUAAUAAAAUUCGAGUUCUGAGCCUACCAUGGGCCCAGGACUUGUCCGCAGUAGAGUGGUGUCUGCAUACUAGCUGACUCAUGGCAUGUCACAUGGAUUGGGGAGGAAGGACCAGGAGCGUUACGGAUUGAUAGUGACUGUAGCCUUUUUGGGCUGAUAGGCUGGAUCUUACCUGGUGGCUUCAUGGGAACUUCAUGCUUAUACUGACCACUUGAUGUGUGAGAAAGGAGGGUUAUCCACCCCCCACCCCCACUCCACCCCGCAGCUUCCCCUCUCCCACUGUCCCGAGGCAUGAUGGGGAUUCCAAUUGAGCACAUUAUGUUUCAAGUCUAGAACUUUCUCCAAGGGAAGGGUUUUGAUGCUAUUUUUCUCAGAACCUAAAUUAACUUGCUGCUACAUGUGCCUUUUCUUAUUUAGAGAGAAAGGUGUCCUGCAUCGUUUGCUUUAGUUCAGUCAUAGAUCUUACUAUACAUGUUGAUACAAUUUUCCAAGUUCAUAAGAUAGGCUGAUGGUUUUUUUCCAUGCUGUAUCAUACCUAGUUUCUCUUGUUUAUUUCAGUGGGCUUCAGAGGGAUUUACACCAGCAAGCAUUCUAAUAAGGCAAUCUGAACCUUACUUUGAGAAUGUAUACUCUUUUAAAAAAAUUAUUUCAAGUGAAUUGGUGUUUCACCUACAUACAUAUCUGUGUGAGGGUGUUGAUCCUCUGGAAUGGACAGUUUUGGAUUUCCAUGUGGGUGUUGGGAUUUGAACCCAGGUCCUCUGGAAGAGCAGCCCAAUGCUCUGUGCCACUUGGUGCUCUCCAGCCCCAAGAAUGUAUAUUUUUGCGUCCUUUGUAGGGUCUGUUUAAGAUGCAGAGCCUCAAUAAUAUAAGCCCAGAGCAAGUAUGGGGAACAAGAUAGGGUUUCGUAAACAAGGAGAGGAAAGACUGGCAAACAAUUGCUUAGUGACAAAGGGGGUCCGAUGGAAGUUAGAAAUUGGGAAAUUAUGGUAGCAUUUUUCAUUGUGGUGUGGGAUGUGUCUGUAAUAACAGGCAUAGGUUCCAAAGACUCUGGCCAUUUGGAAGGACAAAGGCCUGGAUCUGGCCAGUAUGUUUGUGUCUGUCUCUUUUUGUCUGUUGUGAGAGGAAGUGUGAAUGGAUCAGGCGUGAAGGGGGGAAAGCAGCAGUUGUUAGGGUUGUUAAAAAUGUAGUGAGAAGUCGUCUCCUGGAAUCUGUGAGCCAGAUGGAGCCAGAUGUUAGAGGUGUGCUGCUUUGAUGCAGUCAGACUUGUGUGUGUAGGCAUAGGUGAGCAGCUAGCAGAGGCCCUUGCCUCUUACCUGUAUAGGUGAUAUGGUAACAGUAUGUUAAGAAACGUCUCGGUAUUACUCAUCGCACAACAAUGAGACAAAGCCAAGUAGUAAGCAGUGUUUAUUUUUUGAAAAUUAUUUUAAAAAAUUGUUUACAGAGAUGUGGAUUUACAUAACUUGGCAACGUUUUUUAAAUGUACAGGCCAUUUCAUAUUAUUGCACUUACUCUUUUAAUAUAUAAGGCAUUUUUUUACAUAAAUAAAGAAUAAUGUAUAAUGUACAGGUGCGGUGCCAACUAAAGUCAACCCUACAAUGCAAUGUGGUAUGUGCGGGUGGGUGGGAAUGAGCCUUCACGGAAUUGUCUUACAACUACGGUUUGUAUGUUAGAACACAGCUUACGUCAUAGCUUACUGUGAAUGACUGACCACUU
RNAcentral lists this long non-coding RNA (2984 nucleotides) under Mus musculus (house mouse). RNAcentral describes it as "long non-coding RNA chr15:12357053-12360037". The record is from RNAcentral. Lineage: Eukaryota; Metazoa; Chordata; Mammalia; Rodentia; Muridae.